GAUGAACGCUGGCGGCGUGCUUAACACAUGCAAGUCGAACGGUGAAGCAGGAGCUUGCUCCGGUGGAUUAGUGGCGAACGGGUGAGUAACACGUGAGCAAUCUGCCCUUGACUCUGGGAUAACUGCGGGAAACUGUAGCUAAUACCGGAUACGAGGCUCGAAGGCAUCUUCGGGUCUGGAAAGAAUUUCGGUCAAGGAUGAGCUCGCGGCCUAUCAGCUUGUUGGUGAGGUAAUGGCUCACCAAGGCGACGACGGGUAGCCGGCCUGAGAGGGUGACCGGCCACACUGGGGCUGAGACACGGCCCAGACUCCUACGGGAGGCAGCAGUGGGGAAUAUUGCACAAUGGGCGAAAGCCUGAUGCAGCAACGCCGCGUGAGGGAUGAAGGCCUUCGGGUUGUAAACCUCUUUUAGCAGGGAAGAAGCGAAAGUGACGGUACCUGCAGAAAAAGCACCGGCUAACUACGUGCCAGCCGCCGCCGUAA
RNAcentral lists this ribosomal RNA (483 nucleotides) under uncultured bacterium. Its description in RNAcentral is "partial 16S ribosomal RNA". It matches the Rfam family "Bacterial small subunit ribosomal RNA", at positions 28 to 523 of the family's 1533-position model. The record is from RNAcentral.